UGAGGCAGGAGAAUGGCGUGAACCCGGGAGGUGAAGCUUGCAGUGAGCCGAGAUCACGCCACUACACUCCAGCCUGGGUGACAGAGCGAGACUGCAUCUCAAAAAAAAAAAAAAUUUUAUAUAUACAUACAUACACACACACACACACACACACACACGUAUUUGAACUACACAGGGAACAAAUAUAGUUUCAUGUUAUGAAUUUAAAUAAAGCCAUCAGGCCGGCGUGGUGACUCACGCCUGUAAUCCCAGCACUUUGGGAGGCCGAGGCAGGAGAAUCGCUUGAACCCGGGAGGCACAGGUUGCAGUCAGCCGAGAUCACGCCACUGCACUCUAGUCUGGGCGACAGAGCAAGACUUUUGUCUCAAAAAAAAAUGAAAAAUAAAAAUAAUAAUGACAAAUUUCGCUACUGUUAACAGUAAAAUUAACCUAGUGGCUCUUAUCCUUUGACUCCUUCUCUACUUCCCAGCGAGAUUCUCAGUGACCCCUCAUCAUCACCUCUCCUAAGU
Molecule: non-coding RNA, 509 nt
Filed under: Pan troglodytes (chimpanzee)
Lineage: Eukaryota; Metazoa; Chordata; Mammalia; Primates; Hominidae
Source: RNAcentral